RNAcentral lists this ribosomal RNA (258 nucleotides) under uncultured bacterium. RNAcentral's name for it is "partial 16S ribosomal RNA". It matches the Rfam family "Bacterial small subunit ribosomal RNA", at positions 96 to 354 of the family's 1533-position model. The record is from RNAcentral.
UGGCGGACGGGUGAGUAACGCGUGGGCAACCUGCCCCAUACAGGGGGAUAACAGCCGGAAACGGCUGCUAAUACCGCAUAAGCGCACGGGACCGCAUGGUUCUGUGUGAAAAACAAUAGUGGUAUGGGAGGGGCCCGCGUCUGAUUAGCCAGUUGGCGGGGUAGAGGCCCACCAAAGCGACGAUCAGUAGCCGGCCUGAGAGGGCGGACGGCCACAUUGGGACUGAGACACGGCCCAAACUCCUACGGAAGGCAGCAG